This 468-nucleotide ribosomal RNA is filed under the name uncultured bacterium. RNAcentral describes it as "partial 16S ribosomal RNA". It matches the Rfam family "Bacterial small subunit ribosomal RNA", at positions 28 to 507 of the family's 1533-position model. The record is from RNAcentral.
GACGAACGCUGGCGGCGUGCUUAACACAUGCAAGUCGAACGGAAAGGCCCUGCCUUUGUGGGGUGCUCGAGUGGCGAACGGGUGAGUAACACGUGAGUAACCUGCCCUUGACUUUGGGAUAACUUCAGGAAACUGGGGCUAAUACCGGAUAGGAGCUCCUGCUGCAUGGUGGGGGUUGGAAAGUUUCGGCGGUUGGGGAUGGACUCGCGGUUUAUCAGCUUGUUGGUGGGGUUGUGGCUUACCAAGGCUUUGACGGGUAGCCGGCCUGAGAGGGUGACCGGCCACAUUGGGACUGAGGUACGGGCCAGACUCCUACGGGAGGAAGCAGUGGGGAAUAUUGCACAAUGGGCGGAAGCCUGAUGCAGCAACGCCGCGUGCGGGAUGACGGCCUUCGGGUUGUAAACCGCUUUCGCCUGUGACGAAGCGUGAGUGACGGUAAUGGGUAAAGAAGCACCGGCUAACUACGUG